UAAUAAUAAGCCCGCAGGGCAGCUUGUGGCGAGCUGUUGGGGAGUAACGACCCCACGGACCCGAGUGCUCCAGAGAGUCGUACAGGGUCUCCGUCUCCGGCGUGUCUUCGUCGGUCGGAGUGAACCCCAAGGGGACCCGCAGGACUCUCGGCUCUGGCUUGCCUUAAUUGGCCGUCCAGAGAGGAGUCGUUAGAGCUAUAUGCUCCAGGGGUGGAAGUGUUAAAGGGCAUAACGCCGCGAGUAACUUCGGAGAAAACGCAGCACACCUCUCGACACCCCUGAGCCGCUCACGCCGGUGUUGCGCCUGGCCGUCUGUACGAUGGCGCAUCAGGUGCCCAUCUAGCGAGUGGCGAGUCACCGCCUGCCUCGAUAACACUGUAUAACACAAUGUUAUGGCAGGUGUCCGGAACUCUUAGCAAUAGCCCAGUCUUUUUUCCACCCAAACUUAAAACAUAGACCAGUACUCUGUCCAUAUUCUCUACAAUAGCUUCCAAUGCCUGCUGAAACCGGUUCAUGGGUAUCUAUUGAUGUACCCGUGAAUGGGUUCCAGCAGGCGUUCUACAUGACAUCAAAUCUCUCCAAAUGGCCUCUACGUGUUGGAUCUAUAUCCCCACGCACGCCUUAUAAAUGACCGGGCUCGAAAGACCCGAGAGUUUUAUAACGGAGAUAAUAAUAAUAAUAAUAAGCCCGCAGGGCAGCUUGUGGCGAGCUGUUGGGGAGUAACGACCCCACGGACCCGAGUGCUCCAGAGAGUCGGUCAGGUGGAACCCCAAGGGGACCCGCAGGACUCUCGGCUCUGGCUUGCCUUCAUUGGCCGUCCAGAGAGGAGUCGUUAGAGCUAUAUGCUCCAGGGGUGGAAGUGAAAUUUGCGUAAGCGCGAGUUGGCACAGUGGCUGUUUACAGCCACUGGGUAGAAAGCGGUGUACACCUCUCGACACCCCUGAGCCGCUCACACCGAUGUUGCGCCUGGUCGUCUUUACGACGACAGUUUCAGGGGCCCAUCUAGUCAGCGGCGAGUCACCACCUGCCUCGAUAACGUGU
Molecule: long non-coding RNA, 1041 nt
Organism: Cydia amplana
Lineage: Eukaryota; Metazoa; Arthropoda; Insecta; Lepidoptera; Tortricidae
Exons: 2
Source: RefSeq, a predicted model, not a curated record